GAUGAAGAACGCAGCGAAAUGCGAUAAGUAAUGUGAGUUGCAGAAUUCAGUGAAUCAUCGAAUCUUUGAACGCACAUUGCGCCCGCUAGUAUUCUGGCGGGCAUGCCUGUCCGAGCGUCAUUUCAACCCUCAAGCCCCCGGGCUUGGUGUUGGGGAUCGGCGAGCCUCCGCGCCCGCCGUCCCCUAAAUCUAGUGGCGGUCUCGCUGUAGCUUCCUCUGCGUAGUAGCACACCUCGCACUGGGAAACAGCGCGGCCACGCCGUUAAACCCCCAACUUCUGAACGUUUGACCUCGGAUCAGGUAGGAAUACCCGCUGAACUUAAGCAUAUCAAUAAGCGGAGGA
RNAcentral lists this unclassified non-coding RNA (343 nucleotides) under soil metagenome. RNAcentral describes it as "partial contains 5.8S ribosomal RNA, internal transcribed spacer 2, and large subunit ribosomal RNA". The stretch from base 1 to 120 matches the Rfam family "5.8S ribosomal RNA", at positions 35 to 154 of the family's 154-position model. The record is from RNAcentral.